GGGAAGGGAUGACUAGUGGCAGAGUGAGGGAAGGAAGGGAUGACUGGUGACAGAGUGAGAGAGGGGGUGACUAGUGACAGAGUGAGAGAGGGAGUGACUGUCACUAGUCACCCCAUCCCUCUCUCUGUCACUAGUCACUCCCUCCCUAACUCUGUCACUAGUCACCCCCUCUCUCACUCUGUCACUAGUCACCCCCUCUCUCACUAAGGACAGAGGGGUGAUUAGUGACAGAGAGAGGGAUGGGGUGACUAGUGACAGUCACCCCCUCCCUCACUCUGUCACUAGUCACUCCCUCUCUC
Pelobates cultripes (western spadefoot toad) is the source of this 299-nucleotide non-coding RNA. NCBI's taxonomy places the organism in Eukaryota, Metazoa, Chordata, Amphibia, Anura, Pelobatidae. The record is from the annotation of a GenBank genome assembly.